RNAcentral lists this ribosomal RNA (253 nucleotides) under uncultured bacterium. RNAcentral's name for it is "partial 16S ribosomal RNA". It matches the Rfam family "Bacterial small subunit ribosomal RNA", at positions 524 to 776 of the family's 1533-position model. The record is from RNAcentral.
GACGUAGGGCGCGAGCGUUGUCCGGAUUUAUUGGGCGUAAAGAGCUCGUAGGCGGCUUGUUACGUCGUUCGUGAAAACCCGAGGCUCAACCUCGAGCUGUCGGCGGAAACCAUCUGGCUAGAGUCCGGAAGAGGAGAGUGGAAUUCCUGGUGUAGCGGUGAAAUGCGCAGAUAUCAGGAAGAACACCUAUGGCGAAGGCAGCUCUCUGGGACGGUACUGACGCUGAGACGCGAAAGCGUGGGGAGCGAACAGG